GUUAAUUUUAAUGGCGCCACUUGUCUACCACUGUUUAGCCCUAUUUCCCCCCUUUCCCCUGUCAAUCUAAGUCAUCUUCUUUGUGAUCUCGUCCUUUCCAAUUUUUCUGAACUGAAGUGACUCUUGCCCUGACAGAUAAUUACUUGUAUUCGCGUUUUGAAUAUUGUGACCAAAUUGUUCUGACGUGCAGUCUCAGACGUCGUCGACACAUGCAAUUUGUGACAAGGUGGCAAUUCUCACACCUCCUCCUUUAGGUUGUGUGUGUGUUGUGCCCUAUAUGUGCAUGAGUGUGUCCAGGACGGACCACUCUUAUUUCCAUUUUCCCAUCGAAGACUGGUCCCCAGGAUUGAUGAUGAUGGAUGCCUGAUUGUGUGUCGAUGUUCUGAUUCUGACAGUGACUUGAAGUUACACGACAGACAUUGAUUGCUUUAAAUACAGUCCACUUCUACUUGUCCGACCUCGAGUUAUCAUCUGGUCCUUCGAGCCGGAGCUACCGGCAUCGUUCUGAAUCACGCUGUUCAGCAUUUGAUUCGACUUCGACUGGCGUUGUAGCAGACCUGCCCACGCCUUCAGCAUUUGAUUCGACUUCGACUGGCGUUGUAGCAGACCUGCCCACGCCUUCAGCGUUUUGAUUCGACUUCAACUGGCGUUGUAGCAGACCUGCCCACGCCUCAUCUUCAGCAUUUCAUUUGACUUCGACUGUCGUUGUAGCAGACCUGCCCACGCCUUCAGCGUUUUGAUUUGACUUCAACUGGCUUUGUAGCAGACCUGCCCACGCCUCUUCAGCAUCUGAUUCGACUUCGACUGGCGUUGUAGCAGACCUGCCCACGCCUUCCAGUAUUUGAUUUGAUUUGCCUGCCGUUAAAACCGACCGGCCACGCUGAUCAGCGUUGAAUUGACCUGCGCUGUGGCGCCUUGACAAAGAUUGUCUGCCGUUAAGCAGACCCGACCAAGCCAACGAGAACCAAGUUGGAAGGAACUGACCAGUUCCAGCUAAGAGGAUCCUUGCCCGUCAAGCAGAGCCGACUACUCGACGAGAACCAAGUUGGGGAGUUCAGCUAUAGACCGACGGUGUUCCAGGAUCCUAAUUUUACCCUCAUUUGAACUGACUAAGAGCCUGCCGUUAAGCAGGCAACCCAGGAGACGAAGAUUCUCCAUCGACGAGCAGAGCUGCCAUCCACUACGUUGCUGUUAGCUCUGAUCCUUCGCUGUCUCCUAGCCCUUUUCAUCAUGGCGGAGGAUAUUGCAGCAUUCACCAUCGACCAAUGCAGGGCCCGCCAGAAGGUACUGCGCUUUAAGAUAACCGGAUGCUGCACCCGUAUGCGGAAAGUUAUAACCAACAAGCUUUCACGCCGUGAAGCCACGCGCCUCCUGGAUGAGGCUCGCACCCUCCUUGGUGAUUCCGGCCCGAUUAAUGACCGUUUAUUGGAGCUGUUG
This 1437-nucleotide long non-coding RNA is filed under the name Daphnia pulicaria. Its description in RNAcentral is "uncharacterized LOC124314968". The record is from RNAcentral. Lineage: Eukaryota; Metazoa; Arthropoda; Branchiopoda; Diplostraca; Daphniidae.